This 756-nucleotide unclassified non-coding RNA is filed under the name Hevea brasiliensis (rubber tree). The record is from RNAcentral. Lineage: Eukaryota; Viridiplantae; Streptophyta; Magnoliopsida; Malpighiales; Euphorbiaceae.
AGGGAACAAGUCCCGCAGAGAGAUGAUAAGUGGGAGAAAGAGUCAAAUUCAAAUCUCUUCUGGAAUGGAAGACCUCCCAUCCACUGACUACAAGACUGCAGCCUAACACCCAAGUUAGCCUGACGGUCAGCUAAAUGAGUCGCUUCCCUCUUCAUAUGAUGAAAUUUAACUCAACAUAUAUUGACAAAUUUUUUCUCAGGAUAAAGCAUAGGCGCCAAGGUUCUUGAUUAUUACCAUUCGCCCAUCUAAUCAUGUUAAGAGAACCCCUUUUUGUUUGAUAUGAUGACUUGAAAAAAAAAUCAAUAGUUUGGACAAAACUAUGGCCAUGCAGGAGAGUUUCUUCUUUUGAAAAGGUUGCAUUUUUGAUUCCUAGAGGAGACCUGUUCAAUUCCACAUGACAGCACCAUUGCCAUCUUUUAUGACUCCACCAUAAUCCGAAUUCCUAGAGUAGCCUUCCCUAUUCCUUCAAAGUUCAUCUUGAUGUGAUUUGAAGAGGAAAUUGCCACAAGAUUGAGAUAGAUAUGUUUGAAUUUAAAAAAAAAGUAAUGCAAUAAGACCUCGUCAUGUUCAUCCUUACUAACAUCCCAUACAAAAAAUGAAAUCUUUUUUAUGGUCUGGAUUUUUUCAAUCACCUUAACGAAGGAGGUGGACUUCAACCAAGCCAGCCCUUCUUAUGAAGUGGCUAUGGAGAUUUCCAAAGGAAAAAAAAAGAAAAAAAGCCAUGGUGCUCAUAUUUGGCUGCUAAGUACCUCUCCA